CAAGAGCGUAUGUAAAAGUUGUUGCAGUUAAAAAGCUCGUAGUUGGAUUUCUGGUGGGAGCGAUCGGUCUGGCGCUUAGCGCGAGUACUUGCAUCGUCUCCGGCCAUCCUUGGGGAGAGUCUGUCUGGCAUUAAGUUGUCGGGCAGAGGAUCCUCAUCGUUUACUGUGAAAAAAUUAGAGUGUUCAAAGCAGGCUUAUGCCGUUGAAUAUAUUAGCAUGGAAUAAUAAGAUAGGACUUUGGUACUAUUUUGUUGGUUUGCGCACCAAAGUAAUGAUUAAUAGGGACAGUUGGGGGUAUUCGUAUUCCGUUGUCAGAGGUGAAAUUCUUGGAUUUACGGAAGACGAACUACUGCGAAAGCAUUUACCAAGGAUGUUUUCAUUAA
This 383-nucleotide ribosomal RNA is filed under the name uncultured eukaryote. RNAcentral describes it as "partial 18S ribosomal RNA". It matches the Rfam family "Eukaryotic small subunit ribosomal RNA", at positions 592 to 976 of the family's 1831-position model. The record is from RNAcentral.